GGAUGAACGCUGGCGGCGUGCUUAGCCCAUGCAAGUCGAACGGAAAGGCUCCUGCUUGCAGGGGUACUCGAGUGGCGAACGGGUGAGUAACACGUGGGUGAUCUGCCCUGCACUUCGGGAUAAGCCUGGGAAACUGGGUCUAAUACCGGAUAGGACGAUGGUUUGGAUGCCAUUGUGGAAAGUUUUUUCGGUGUGGGAUGAGCUCGCGGCCUAUCAGCUUGUUGGUGGGGUAAUGGCCUACCAAGGCGUCGACGGGUAGCCGGCCUGAGAGGGUGUACGGCCACAUUGGGACUGAGGUACGGCCCAGACUCCUACGGGAGGCAGCAGUGGGGAAUAUUGCACAAUGGGCGCAAGCCUGAUGCAGCGACGCCGCGUGGGGGAUGACGGCCUUCGGGUUGUAAACUCCUUUCGCUAGGGACGAAGCGCAAGUGACGGUACCUGGAGAAGAAGCACCGGCUAACUACGUG
RNAcentral lists this ribosomal RNA (467 nucleotides) under uncultured bacterium. RNAcentral's name for it is "partial 16S ribosomal RNA". It matches the Rfam family "Bacterial small subunit ribosomal RNA", at positions 27 to 507 of the family's 1533-position model. The record is from RNAcentral.